Mycena floridula is the source of this 99-nucleotide non-coding RNA. NCBI's taxonomy places the organism in Eukaryota, Fungi, Basidiomycota, Agaricomycetes, Agaricales, Mycenaceae. The record is from the annotation of a GenBank genome assembly.
UGCUCCAUGGCUGAGUUGGUUACAGCGUCCGACUGUUAUGGUACCGGUCGAUAGAUGGUUUACAUCGGAAGGUCGAGAGUUCGACCCUCUCUGGAGCAG